RNAcentral lists this ribosomal RNA (1802 nucleotides) under Trachytes baloghi. Its description in RNAcentral is "SSU rRNA". It matches the Rfam family "Eukaryotic small subunit ribosomal RNA". Lineage: Eukaryota; Metazoa; Arthropoda; Arachnida; Mesostigmata; Trachytidae. The record is from RNAcentral.
GAUCCUGCCAGUAGUCAUAUGCUUGUCUCAAAGAUUAAGCCAUGCAUGUCUAAGUACACGCCGAAAUUAUGGUGAAACCGCGAAUGGCUCAUUAAAUCAGUUAUGGUUCAAUAGAAUAUGAGGCCACUAGGAUAACUGUGGUAAUUCUAGAGCUAAUACUUGCCUGAGUGCCCCUGGGAACAGAACCCGGGAGCAAGCAUUUAUUAGACUUAAGCCGCCUGAGACCUAUACGGAACAAAUCUCGGGACAGUCAAUUUUGUGAUGAACCUGUGUAACUAAGCAAAUCGCUUAGGCCUUGAGCCGGCGAUAAUUCUUUCAAGUGUCUGCUCUAUCAACUGUCGAUGGUAGGUUAUGCGCCUACCAUGGUUGUAACGGGUGACGGAGAAUCAGGGUUCGAUUCCGGAGAGGGAGCCUGAGAAACGGCUACCACAUCCAAGGAAGGCAGCAGGCGCGUAAAUUACCCAAUCUCGGAACGAGGAGGUAGUGACGAAAAAUAACGAUACGGGACUCUCUUGAGGCUCCGUAAUUGGAAUGAGAACAUUCUAAACACCUUAUCAAGGAUCUAUUGGAGGGCAAGUCUGGUGCCAGCAGCCGCGGUAAUUCCAGCUCCAAUAGCGUAUAUUAAAGUUGCUGCGGUUAAAAAGCUCGUAGUUGAAACCUGGUGCACUGGAGAAUAGUCGGUAUUGAACUGGCGCCUCUCGCUGUGGACAUCCGGGGUGGUUGUUCUGAGUCCUCUUAAACGAGGGCUUAGGGUGCCAUCAUAUAUCACUCUGAUAAAACUAGAGUGCUUAAAGCAGGCCUUGUGCCUAAAUAUCAAUGCAUGGAAUGAUGGAAGAGGUUAUUGUUCCGUUUGUGGCUUAAGGAUACGAUAAGAUGAUCGAGAGGAACAGCCGUGGGCAUUUGUAUUGCGGCGACAGAGGUGAAAUUCUUGGACCGUCGCAAGACAAACUACAGCGAAAGCAUUUGCCAAGAAUGUUUUCAUUGAUCAAGAACGAAAGUCAGAGGUUCGAAGGCGAUCAGAUACCGCCCUAGUUCUGGCCAUAAACGAUGCCAACUAGCAAUCCGCAUGAGUUGUCUUUUUGACUCUGCGGGCAGCCCCGGGAAACCAAGUAAGGUUCCGGGGGAAGUAUGGUUGCAAAGCUGAAACUUAAAGGAAUUGACGGAAGGGCACCACCAGAGGUGGAGCUUGCGGCUUAAUUUGACUCAACACGGGAAAUCUCACUCGGGCCGGACACUGAAAGGAUUGACAGAUUGAGAGCUCUUUCUUGAUUCGGUGGAUGGUGGUGCAUGGCCGUUCUUAGUUGGUGGAGCGAUCUGUCUGGUUUAUUCCGAUAACGAGCGAGACUCUAGCCUAUUAAAUAGACGUGAUGAUCCUGUCUCAUCACGUGUACCUUCUUAGAGGGACAAGUUGCUUUCAGCAACACGAAAAAGAGCGAUAACAGGUCUGUAAUGCCCUUAGAUGUCCGAGGCCGCACGCGUGCUACAAUGAAGAACGCAGCGUGUAGUAUUCCUUGUUUGAGAAAACUGGGUAACCCCGGUAAACUUCUUCAUGAUUGGGAUUGGGGCUUGAAAUUGUUCCCCUUGAAAGAGGAAUCUCCAGUAAGUACUGGUCAUCAGCCAGUGUUGAUUACGUCCCUGCCCUUUGUACACACCGCCCGUCGCUACUACCGAUUGAAUGGUUUAAUUAGGCCUUCCGAUUGACCCCUCAUGUGGCCUUCGGUCGCAAGAAGGGUUGAAAAGAUGUCCGAAUUGCAUCAUUUAGAGGAAGUAAAAGUCGUAACAAGGUUACCGUAGGUGAACCU